AUUGGACGCUGGCGGCAGGCCUAACACAUGCAAGUCGAGCGGAUGAAGGGAGCUUGCUCCUGGAUUCAGCGGCGGACGGGUGAGUAAUGCCUAGGAAUCUGCCUGGUAGUGGGGGAUAACGUCCGGAAACGGGCGCUAAUACCGCAUACGUCCUGAGGGAGAAAGUGGGGGAGCUUCGGACCUCACGCUAUCAGAUGAGCCUAGGUCGGAUUAGCUAGUUGGUGGGGUAAAGGCCUACCAAGGCGACGAUCCGUAACUGGUCUGAGAGGAUGAUCAGUCACACUGGAACUGAGACACGGUCCAGACUCAUACGGGAGGAAGCAGUGGGGAAUAUUGGACAAUGGGCGAAAGCCUGAUCCAGCCAUGCCGCGUGUGUGAAGAAGGUCUUCGGAUUGUAAAGCACUUUAAGUUGGGAGGAAGGGCAGUAAGUUAAUACCUUGCUGUUUUGACGUUACCAACAGAAUAAGCACCGGCUAACUUCGUG
Molecule: ribosomal RNA, 484 nt
Filed under: uncultured bacterium
Lineage: Bacteria
Description: partial 16S ribosomal RNA
Rfam family: Bacterial small subunit ribosomal RNA
Source: RNAcentral